This 71-nucleotide transfer RNA is filed under the name Mycteria americana (wood stork). Its description in RNAcentral is "tRNA-Val". The record is from RNAcentral. Lineage: Eukaryota; Metazoa; Chordata; Aves; Ciconiiformes; Ciconiidae.
CAAGGCGUAGCUAUAACGCAAAGCACUCAGCUUACACCUGAGAGAUAUCUGCUACACACAGAUCGUCUUGA